CUUUUCACUGGUCGUCUUACAUCCAAAGAUUUACAUAUUUUACACAGAUGGUAGUAUGAGAUGCUGGGGAUUCAAAGCCAGGAAUCUGUUUGGAGACUUUUCUUAUUGACAGAAAGUUUUCAGUUCAUGGGUACCUGGUGUUCCUUGUGUUGCUUUCCUCUGUCAGUUGCAACUCCACAUCAGGUUUAUACUGUCAACAGUAUGUCAGGUAUAUUCUGGCAAAAUACUUACGGUUUAUUUUGUCAACAUGACUCAAGGUUUAUUUUGUCAAUACUUCUCAAGGUUUGUUGUUGCACCAUUACCUUAAACAUAUUCUGUUAACACUACUCCAGAUGUAUUCUUGCAACAUUAAUUCAGGUUUAUUCUUCCAACACUGCACCAGCUGUAUUCUGCCAACACUACUCCAGGUUUAUUCUUCCAACACUACUCCAGCUGUAUUCUGCCAACACUACUCGAGCUGCAUUCUCCCAACACUACUCCAGCUGUAUUCUGUCAACACUACUCCAGCUGCAUUCUGCCAACACUACUCCAGCUGUAUUCUGCCAACACUACGCCAGAUUUAUUCUCCCUGUACUACUCCAGGUUUAUUCUUCCAACACUACUCCAGGUUUAUUCUGCCAACACUACUCCAGCUGUAUUCUGCCAACACUACUCCAGCUGUAUUCUACCAACACUACUCCAGGUUUAUUCUGCCAACACUACUCCAGCUGUAUUCUGCCAACACUACUCUAGGUUUAUUCUCCCAACACUACUCCAGCUUUAUUCUUCCAACACUACUCCAGCUGUAUUCUGCCAACACUACUCCAGCUGAAUUCUGCCAACACUACUCCAGGUUUAUUCUGCCAACACUACUCCAGCUGUAUUCUGCCAACACUACUCCAGCUGUAUUCUGCCAACACUACUCCAGCUGUAUUCUGCCAACACUACUCCAGCUGAAUUCUGCCAACACUACUCCAGGUUUAUUCUGCCAACACUACUCCAGCUGUAUUCUACCAACACUACUCCAGGUUUAUUCUGCCAACACUACUCCAGCUGUAUUCUGCCAACACUACUCUAGGUUUAUUCUCCCAAAACUACUCGAGCUGUAUUCUCCCAACACUACUCCAGGUUUAUUCUGCCAACACUACUCCAGCUGUAUUCUGCCAACACUACUCCAGGUUUAAUCUGCUAAAACUACUCCAUGUUUAAACUGCCAACACAACACAUGGUAUAAACACCAACACCAAUUCAGGUUCAGUCUGCUAAGACAACUUCGGGUUCAAACUGUCAGUACUACUCCAGGUUUAAUCUGCCAACACCACUCCGGGUUCAAACUGCCAAUACUACUCCAGGUUUAAUCUGCCAACACUACUCCGGGUUCAAACUGCCAAUACUACUCCAGGUUUAAUCUGUCCCACGUGUCUUGAGCAAUGAAAACAAAGGAAAUUGGACAUCUGAAUAUAAAACUGUAAAUGAGUACAGACAAACCAAUAUCCACAAGUAUGCAAACGGUUUCACUUCUAAUGUAUAUCGCUCCAGCGUUGUACAAGUGACCGUGAGGGAAUUGCCUUACAAUGAUAUCUCCUGGGAGCAACCAUGAUGUACAAGGCAGACACCAUCGUAAGACUGAUGACAUCUGACGGUCAUAAACCCGACAGUCCCAGAACUUUAAGUCUUCAGAAUUUAGCUAAUACAAGAGACAAUUGUUGAAAUUCAGAAUUGGAUACGAUAAUCUGGCCGUAAAAAACAUAGAAGUAACAUUCACAUUGAUAGUGCAGAUAAACUUUGUUAUGAAUGUCGCUUGAAGUGCGUAUAUUGAUAUGUUACCCUUUGUAUUAGAAUUAUAUAACAAUGUCUCUUUUGAGUUUAUUAGAUGCAGGUGCUUAAUAUCAACAUUGUUUGCAGCUUUCAGGAGGUCCAUACUAAAUUGUAUUUACAAUUGUGGACAUGCUGUUUCCCAUAUAUAUGUUCACUAUCACAUGUCCGUCAUAUGAUCACGUGGUUUUUUUUUAAAUAUUCAAUGUUUAAUCAGAAUGUAUGUUACUUUUUCCCUCUGAAUCAACACUUAAUUCAUAUAUUAUGAAAGUAUCUUUUUUAAAACCAAUUUGUAACCAAACUUUAAGACUUUUUUCCACAUGACAAAAGAUCAGCCUUCAUUAACUUUAACUUGAAAAGAAUAAAAAGUCCAAGGCAUUAUUCAUAAUUUCAUAUUA
RNAcentral lists this unclassified non-coding RNA (2192 nucleotides) under Haliotis rubra (blacklip abalone). RNAcentral describes it as "flavin-containing monooxygenase 5-like, transcript variant X1". Lineage: Eukaryota; Metazoa; Mollusca; Gastropoda; Lepetellida; Haliotidae. The record is from RNAcentral.